Molecule: ribosomal RNA, 476 nt
Filed under: bacterium BJSM4
Lineage: Bacteria
Description: bacterial SSU rRNA
Rfam family: Bacterial small subunit ribosomal RNA
Source: RNAcentral
GAGGGGAAACUGUGUACUGUGGUUUAAUUCGAAGCAACGCGAAGAACCUUACCAGGUCUUGACAUCCUCUGACAACCCUAGAGAUAGGGCUUUCCCUUCGGGGACAGAGUGACAGGUGGUGCAUGGUUGUCUUCAGCUCGUGUCGUGAGAUGUUGGGUUAAGUCCCGCAACGAGCGCAACCCUUGAUCUUAGUUGCCAGCAUUCAGUUGGGCACUCUAAGGUGACUGCCGGUGACAAACCGGAGGAAGGUGGGGAUGACGUCAAAUCAUCAUGCCCCUUAUGACCUGGGCUACACACGUGCUACAAUGGACAGAACAAAGGGGUGCUAGACCGCAAGGUUUAGCCAAUCCCAUAAAUCUGUUCUCAGUUCGGAUCGCAGUCUGCAACUCGACUGCGUGAAGCUGGAAUCGCUAGUAAUCGCGGAUCAGCAUGCCGCGGUGAAUACGUUCCCGGGCCUUGUACACACCGCCCGUAUA